This 71-nucleotide transfer RNA is filed under the name Stegodyphus mimosarum. It matches the Rfam family "tRNA". From Rfam's summary of the family: Transfer RNA (tRNA) molecules are approximately 80 nucleotides in length. Their secondary structure includes four short double-helical elements and three loops (D, anti-codon, and T loops). The record is from Rfam by way of RNAcentral. Lineage: Eukaryota; Metazoa; Arthropoda; Arachnida; Araneae; Eresidae.
GCCUUCGUGGUGUAACGGUAGCACACUCGGCGCAUAUUCGAUAGGUUCAGGUUCGAGUCCCGGAGAGGGCA